GCAGGACAUCCCGCGGCGCUCUGCUCCUCCGUCCUUUCCUGCUGCUACUCUUUCCAUCCGGGUCUCCGGGGUUCCGGCCCCAGCUCUCGCAGGGAUCGCUUGCCUAUCCCAUCUCUUGCGUUCUCGAGUGACAGCCGAGCUCUGCCACGGGUCCCCAGGGGCGGCGGUUUGAAGUACUUGUCCUAGAAGCUGUGUAUCACCAGAAUGAGACUUGUAAUUCUUGAUAAUUAUGACUUGGCUAGUGAAUGGGCAGCCAAAUACAUCUGUAAUCGAAUUAUCCAGUUCAAACCAGGACAGGACAGAUAUUUUACCCUGGGCUUGCCAACAGGAAGCACACCUUUGGGAUGCUAUAAAAAACUAAUAGAAUAUCACAAGAAUGGAGACCUUUCCUUCAAAUAUGUAAAGACCUUUAACAUGGAUGAAUAUGUAGGACUUCCCAGAAAUCAUCCUGAGAGCUACCAUUCAUAUAUGUGGAAUAACUUCUUUAAGCAUAUUGACAUAGAUCCUAAUAAUGCUCACAUCCUUGAUGGAAAUGCUUCAGACCUACAGGCAGAAUGUGAUGCAUUUGAAAGGAAAAUAGAAGAAGCUGGAGGAAUUGAUCUUUUUGUUGGAGGCAUUGGUCCAGAUGGUCACAUCGCUUUCAAUGAACCAGGAUCCAGUUUAGUAUCAAGAACAAGAUUAAAGACUCUAGCAAUGGAUACCAUUUUGGCAAAUGCUAAAUAUUUUGAUGGAGAUUUAUCAAAAGUGCCAACUAUGGCUCUAACAGUUGGUGUGGGGACGGUGAUGGAUGCUAGAGAAGUAAUGAUUCUCAUAACAGGUGCUCAUAAAGCAUUUGCACUGUACAAGGCAAUAGAAGAAGGAGUCAAUCAUAUGUGGACUGUUUCAGCUUUCCAGCAGCAUCCUCGAACUAUUUUUGUAUGUGAUGAAGAUGCUACUUUAGAAUUAAGAGUUAAAACUGUGAAAUACUUUAAAGCAAAAACAUAGAGAUGCGCUACCCAAUUGGAAUAUCAAAUGGACAUUGUAUGAGAGUCCUUAAUUAAGGUUUAAUGCAUGUGCACAAUAAACUUGUGGACCCACUGUACAGUAUGAAAGAAGAAAACUGAAGGAUUGAGGCGAAAUUCUCCUUGAAUGAACUGAACAACAUUUUUAUAGGUAGUGAACUAAAUUUCUUGCUAUGCAAUGUGCUAAAAUAAAACACAGAAUUUAGAGGAUUGUAACUUAAAGGUCUGGUAUCUAUACAUUGUUAAACAUUCCAUGUGAGAGAACUUCAGUCCAUUUUCCCACUAUUUAAAGCUUUGAAGAGAGCUUUCAAAACAAUUCAUUAAAAACAUAGACACUGCAAAUCAAAAAUUAAAGUCUGCCUAAUUUAGAAUAUAAUUUAAGAAAACAAGGAUUUUGUAAGUCAUUUAUCCUUCAUUCUUUGACUAUUGAAAUUUAUUUGAUUUUUUUUUUUCAAUACUCUACUGACCUGUCAGUUAAAAGUAGCUGCACAAUCCUUAAUUUGGGGAAAGCUGUGUUUACAUCUAUGUAUUUCACACAAGCUUUUGCACAUGGUUGCCUUAAAAGCAUUGUACUACAGUAGCAUUUGGGCAUUUCAAGUCCCAUUACAUUCUGCUGGUAAAAGAACCUAAUUUGAUAUGAGAAGACAGUGCCUAUACAGUUUCCUUCCUUUAGAAAAGCAUCUUUACAUGCAUGUGUUUUAUGCAGCUUCUGCAACAGCACUUUAAAAAGUGUGCUUUCAUCUACUUCUUCAGGUUCAUGCUUUUAGUUAAGUACUUCCUUUGGCAAUUGGGAUCUUUAUACCCAAGAAACAUUUUUUUAAAAAGAUUGUUAAACUGUAUCAAUGAUUAGUUUAAUUCAUAAUAAAUCAUUAUGGCUAAAAGGACAGACAUGUAUAAAAUGAAUUACAUAGAAUCUGUUUUGCAUUACAAUAGCAACUUGUAUCAUUUAUUAUUACUCUGUGAGCUCAAAUAUUAGGAUCAUUUUCUAACUUGAACUUAAAGCUUGUAAUGUGUAACCCUUUAUAAAUUUUACUUCCAGAAGAUGAUUGAAAAGAAAUAAAUAUGCUCUGGAUACAUUCCAAGUAUUAAAUCAUAAUUCUUAAUAGUCCUGGUGAAUUUGCAUUUAUUUUUCAGGUCUUUUACAUGAAUACACUGAGGACUAUUUGAGAUGAUUUGUUUCAGUCUUUUAUUUUUAAAUUGUUUACUCAACCUAUUAGAAACCCAUCUGGUAAGUAAAAUUGCUUCAGCUAGAAUGAAUUGUCUAUAUGAUAGAAAUACAUUACAACUUACAAAUAACUAGGAUCGUAAAAUAUAGGGAUAUAUGUUGAUACACAGGAGAGACACCAAUAGGAAUCGAAAACCAAGUAUUUUGUUUAAACCCCAGACAGGCUUAGAAAUCUAUUAAAGGGGGGCAGCUAGGUGGUGCAGUGGAUAAAGCACUGGCCCUGA
RNA transcript from Dromiciops gliroides (monito del monte), 2450 nucleotides. It is a transcript of the gene named glucosamine-6-phosphate deaminase 2, with no coding region annotated. The transcript is spliced from 8 exons. The record is from RefSeq and is a predicted model, not a curated record. Lineage: Eukaryota; Metazoa; Chordata; Mammalia; Microbiotheria; Microbiotheriidae.